Molecule: ribosomal RNA, 642 nt
Filed under: Micrococcus sp.
Lineage: Bacteria; Bacillati; Actinomycetota; Actinomycetes; Micrococcales; Micrococcaceae
Description: bacterial SSU rRNA
Rfam family: Bacterial small subunit ribosomal RNA
Source: RNAcentral
AAACGUUGGGCACUAGGUGUGGGGACCAUUCCACGGUUUCCGCGCCGCAGCUAACGCAUUAAGUGCCCCGCUGGGGAGUACGGCCGCAAGGCUAAAACUCAAAGGAAUUGACGGGGGCCCGCACAAGCGGCGGAGCAUGCGGAUUAAUUCGAUGCAACGCGAAGAACCUUACCAAGGCUUGACAUGUUCUCGAUCGCCGUAGAGAUACGGUUUCCCCUUUGGGGCGGGUUCACAGGUGGUGCAUGGUUGUCGUCAGCUCGUGUCGUGAGAUGUUGGGUUAAGUCCCGCAACGAGCGCAACCCUCGUUCCAUGUUGCCAGCACGUCGUGGUGGGGACUCAUGGGAGACUGCCGGGGUCAACUCGGAGGAAGGUGAGGACGACGUCAAAUCAUCAUGCCCCUUAUGUCUUGGGCUUCACGCAUGCUACAAUGGCCGGUACAAUGGGUUGCGAUACUGUGAGGUGGAGCUAAUCCCAAAAAGCCGGUCUCAGUUCGGAUUGGGGUCUGCAACUCGACCCCAUGAAGUCGGAGUCGCUAGUAAUCGCAGAUCAGCAACGCUGCGGUGAAUACGUUCCCGGGCCUUGUACACACCGCCCGUCAAGUCACGAAAGUCGGUAACACCCGAAGCCGGUGGCCUAACCCUU